AGUGAACGCUCGCGGUAGGCCUAACACAUGCAAGUCGAACGGCAGCACAGUAAGAGUUUGCUCUUAUGGGAGGCGAGUGGCGGACGAUUGACGAAUACAAUGCAAUCUACCUUUUCGUGGACUACAACGAAGGGCAUCUUACGCUAGUACAUCAGACUUCCAUCGGCUGAAAGCUGGGGAUCUUCCGACCUUGCGCGAUUGAUUGAGCCGGUGUCGGAUUAGCCAGUGGGCGGGGUAACUGCCCACCAAGCCGACGGUCCUUAGCUGGUCUGAGAGGAGAAUAAGCCACACUGGAACUGAGACACGGUCCAGACUCCUACGGGAGGCAGCGGUCGGGAAUAUGGGACAAUGGGCGCAGGCCUGCUCCAGGCCUACCGCGUAGGUGAAGAAGGCCUUCGGGUUGUAAAGCCCUUUUGUUGGGACAGAAAAGCAGCCGGUUAACACCCCGCUGUUCUGACGGUACCCAAAGAAUAAGCACCGGCUAACUUCGUG
Molecule: ribosomal RNA, 492 nt
Filed under: uncultured bacterium
Lineage: Bacteria
Description: partial 16S ribosomal RNA
Rfam family: Bacterial small subunit ribosomal RNA
Source: RNAcentral